Raphanus sativus (radish) is the source of this 102-nucleotide small nuclear RNA. The record is from RefSeq and is a predicted model, not a curated record. NCBI's taxonomy places the organism in Eukaryota, Viridiplantae, Streptophyta, Magnoliopsida, Brassicales, Brassicaceae.
GUCUUUUCGGAAACAUACGAUAAAAUUGGAACAAUACAUAAAAGACUAGCAGAGCCCUGUGCAUACAUGACACAGACUAUUAGAGAUGGUGAAGCUAUGAAC